GGAGGUGGAUAUACUGGUAGAGCACAUGCUUAGCAUGCAUGAGGUCCUGAGUUCAAUCCCCAGUACCUCCA
This 71-nucleotide transfer RNA is filed under the name Camelus bactrianus (Bactrian camel). It matches the Rfam family "tRNA". From Rfam's summary of the family: Transfer RNA (tRNA) molecules are approximately 80 nucleotides in length. Their secondary structure includes four short double-helical elements and three loops (D, anti-codon, and T loops). The record is from Rfam by way of RNAcentral. RNAcentral also lists the same sequence under 2 other names. Lineage: Eukaryota; Metazoa; Chordata; Mammalia; Artiodactyla; Camelidae.